RNAcentral lists this ribosomal RNA (406 nucleotides) under uncultured bacterium. RNAcentral describes it as "partial 16S ribosomal RNA". It matches the Rfam family "Bacterial small subunit ribosomal RNA", at positions 30 to 526 of the family's 1533-position model. The record is from RNAcentral.
AUUGAACGCUGGCGGCAGGCCUAACACAUGCAAGUCGAACGAGUGGCGGACGGGUGAGUAAUGUCUGGGAAUCUGCCCGAUGGAGGGGGAUAACUCCUGGAAACGGUGGCUAAUACCGCAUACUAUCCGAUGCACCCAUAUGGGAUUAGCUAGUUGGUGGGGUAAAGGCUCACCUAGGCGACGAUCCCUAGCUGGUCUGAGAGGAUGAUCAGCCACACUGGGACUGAGACACGGCCCAGACGCCUACGGGAGGCAGCAGUGGGGAAUAUUGCACAAUGGGCGCAAGCCUGAUGCAGCCAUGCCGCGUGUAUGAAGAAGGCCUUCGGGUUGUAAAGUACUUUCAGCGGGGAGGCGUUACCCGCAGAAGAAGCACCGGCUAACUCCGUGCCAGCAGCCGCGGUAAUAC